GGGUUGUGAGGUUAAGCGACUAAGCGUACACGGUGGAUGCCCUGGCAGUCAGAGGCGAUGAAGGACGUGCUAAUCUGCGAUAAGCGUCGGUAAGGUGAUAUGAACCGUUAUAACCGGCGAUUUCCGAAUGGGGAAACCCAGUGUGUUUCGACACACUAUCAUUAACUGAAUCCAUAGGUUAAUGAGGCGAACCGGGGGAACUGAAACAUCUAAGUACCCCGAGGAAAAGAAAUCAACCGAGAUUCCCCCAGUAGCGGCGAGCGAACGGGGAGCAGCCCAGAGCCUGAAUCAGUGUGUGUGUUAGUGGAAGCGUCUGGAAAGGCGUGCGAUACAGGGUGACAGCCCCGUACACAAAAAUGCACAUAUUGUGAGCUCGAUGAGUAGGGCGGGACACGUGGUAUCCUGUCUGAAUAUGGGGGGACCAUCCUCCAAGGCUAAAUACUCCUGACUGACCGAUAGUGAACCAGUACCGUGAGGGAAAGGCGAAAAGAACCCCGGCGAGGGGAGUGAAAAAGAACCUGAAACCGUGUACGUACAAGCAGUGGGAGCACGCUUAGGCGUGUGACUGCGUACCUUUUGUAUAAUGGGUCAGCGACUUAUAUUCUGUAGCAAGGUUAACCGAAUAGGGGAGCCGAAGGGAAACCGAGUCUUAACUGGGCGUUAAGUUGCAGGGUAUAGACCCGAAACCCGGUGAUCUAGCCAUGGGCAGGUUGAAGGUUGGGUAACACUAACUGGAGGACCGAACCGACUAAUGUUGAAAAAUUAGCGGAUGACUUGUGGCUGGGGGUGAAAGGCCAAUCAAACCGGGAGAUAGCUGGUUCUCCCCGAAAGCUAUUUAGGUAGCGCCUCGUGAAUUCAUCUCCGGGGGUAGAGCACUGUUUCGGCAAGGGGGUCAUCCCGACUUACCAACCCGAUGCAAACUGCGAAUACCGGAGAAUGUUAUCACGGGAGACACACGGCGGGUGCUAACGUCCGUCGUGAAGAGGGAAACAACCCAGACCGCCAGCUAAGGUCCCAAAGUCAUGGUUAAGUGGGAAACGAUGUGGGAAGGCCCAGACAGCCAGGAUGUUGGCUUAGAAGCAGCCAUCAUUUAAAGAAAGCGUAAUAGCUCACUGGUCGAGUCGGCCUGCGCGGAAGAUGUAACGGGGCUAAACCAUGCACCGAAGCUGCGGCAGCGACGCUUAUGCGUUGUUGGGUAGGGGAGCGUUCUGUAAGCCUGCGAAGGUGUGCUGUGAGGCAUGCUGGAGGUAUCAGAAGUGCGAAUGCUGACAUAAGUAACGAUAAAGCGGGUGAAAAGCCCGCUCGCCGGAAGACCAAGGGUUCCUGUCCAACGUUAAUCGGGGCAGGGUGAGUCGACCCCUAAGGCGAGGCCGAAAGGCGUAGUCGAUGGGAAACAGGUUAAUAUUCCUGUACUUGGUGUUACUGCGAAGGGGGGACGGAGAAGGCUAUGUUGGCCGGGCGACGGUUGUCCCGGUUUAAGCGUGUAGGCUGGUUUUCCAGGCAAAUCCGGAAAAUCAAGGCUGAGGCGUGAUGACGAGGCACUACGGUGCUGAAGCAACAAAUGCCCUGCUUCCAGGAAAAGCCUCUAAGCAUCAGGUAACAUCAAAUCGUACCCCAAACCGACACAGGUGGUCAGGUAGAGAAUACCAAGGCGCUUGAGAGAACUCGGGUGAAGGAACUAGGCAAAAUGGUGCCGUAACUUCGGGAGAAGGCACGCUGAUAUGUAGGUGAAGUCCCUCGCGGAUGGAGCUGAAAUCAGUCGAAGAUACCAGCUGGCUGCAACUGUUUAUUAAAAACACAGCACUGUGCAAACACGAAAGUGGACGUAUACGGUGUGACGCCUGCCCGGUGCCGGAAGGUUAAUUGAUGGGGUCAGCGCAAGCGAAGCUCUUGAUCGAAGCCCCGGUAAACGGCGGCCGUAACUAUAACGGUCCUAAGGUAGCGAAAUUCCUUGUCGGGUAAGUUCCGACCUGCACGAAUGGCGUAAUGAUGGCCAGGCUGUCUCCACCCGAGACUCAGUGAAAUUGAACUCGCUGUGAAGAUGCAGUGUACCCGCGGCAAGACGGAAAGACCCCGUGAACCUUUACUAUAGCUUGACACUGAACAUUGAGCCUUGAUGUGUAGGAUAGGUGGGAGGCUUUGAAGUGUGGACGCCAGUCUGCAUGGAGCCGACCUUGAAAUACCACCCUUUAAUGUUUGAUGUUCUAACGUUGACCCGUAAUCCGGGUUGCGGACAGUGUCUGGUGGGUAGUUUGACUGGGGCGGUCUCCUCCUAAAGAGUAACGGAGGAGCACGAAGGUUGGCUAAUCCUGGUCGGACAUCAGGAGGUUAGUGCAAUGGCAUAAGCCAGCUUGACUGCGAGCGUGACGGCGCGAGCAGGUGCGAAAGCAGGUCAUAGUGAUCCGGUGGUUCUGAAUGGAAGGGCCAUCGCUCAACGGAUAAAAGGUACUCCGGGGAUAACAGGCUGAUACCGCCCAAGAGUUCAUAUCGACGGCGGUGUUUGGCACCUCGAUGUCGGCUCAUCACAUCCUGGGGCUGAAGUAGGUCCCAAGGGUAUGGCUGUUCGCCAUUUAAAGUGGUACGCGAGCUGGGUUUAGAACGUCGUGAGACAGUUCGGUCCCUAUCUGCCGUGGGCGCUGGAGAACUGAGGGGGGCUGCUCCUAGUACGAGAGGACCGGAGUGGACGCAUCACUGGUGUUCGGGUUGUCAUGCCAAUGGCACUGCCCGGUAGCUAAAUGCGGAAGAGAUAAGUGCUGAAAGCAUCUAAGCACGAAACUUGCCCCGAGAUGAGUUCUCCCUGACUCCUUGAGAGUCCUGAAGGAACGUUGAAGACGACGACGUUGAUAGGCCGGGUGUGUAAGCGCAGCGAUGCGUUGAGCUAACCGGUACUAAUGAACCGUGAGGCUUAACCUUACAACGCCGAAGGUGUUU
This 2931-nucleotide ribosomal RNA is filed under the name Escherichia coli. RNAcentral describes it as "23S ribosomal RNA". It matches the Rfam family "Bacterial large subunit ribosomal RNA". Lineage: Bacteria; Pseudomonadati; Pseudomonadota; Gammaproteobacteria; Enterobacterales; Enterobacteriaceae. The record is from RNAcentral.